UACAGAGGGUGCGAGCGUUGUUCGGAAUUAUUGGGCGUAAAGCGCAUGUAGGCGGUUUGUUAAGUCGCGUGUGAAAGCUCCAGGCUCAACCUGGAAAGUGCGCGCGAAACUGGCGAACUUGAGUGCCGGAGAGGGUGGCGGAAUUCCCGGUGUAGAGGUGAAAUUCGUAGAUAUCGGGAGGAACACCAGAGGCGAAGGCGGCCACCUGGACGGACACUGACGCUGAGACGCGAAAGCGUGGGGAGCAAACAGG
This 253-nucleotide ribosomal RNA is filed under the name uncultured bacterium. RNAcentral's name for it is "partial 16S ribosomal RNA". It matches the Rfam family "Bacterial small subunit ribosomal RNA", at positions 524 to 776 of the family's 1533-position model. The record is from RNAcentral.